Molecule: ribosomal RNA, 1104 nt
Filed under: Triticum aestivum (bread wheat)
Lineage: Eukaryota; Viridiplantae; Streptophyta; Magnoliopsida; Poales; Poaceae
Description: partial small subunit ribosomal RNA
Source: RNAcentral
AUGGGCGAGCAGGCCGCGGCCGUUUCCUCCUGCGAGACGCCUGCUCCGGCGGAGGUGGGGACAGGGGUCGGGCAGAGGUCGCUGCCCACGCCGUUCUUGAACAAGACGUACCAGCUGGUGGAUGACCCGGCGGUCGACGAUGUCAUCUCGUGGAGCGAGGACGGGUCGGCGUUCAUCGUGUGGCGCCCCGCCGAGUUCGCGCGCGACCUUCUCCCCAAGUACUUCAAGCACAAUAACUUCUCCAGCUUCGUGCGCCAGCUCAACACCUACGGAUUUAGGAAGAUUGUGCCGGACAGGUGGGAGUUCGCCAACGACUGCUUCCGUCGAGGAGAAAAGCGGCUGCUUUGUGACAUACAUCGGCGAAAGGUGACGCCGACGGUGGCGGCCACCGCCGCGGUCACGGUAGCUGCGGCGGCCGCGAUUCCGGUAGCGCUGCCGGUGGCGAAGCGACAGGGCUCGCCGGUACUUUCCGGCGACGAGCAGGUGCUGUCGUCGAGCUCGUCCCCUGAGCCCCCCUUUCUGAAUCAAUACGCGCCGUCCUACUCCGGCUCAGGCGGCGUUGCCUCCGGCGAUCUCGGGGAAGAGAACGAGCGGCUGCGGCGGGAGAACUCGCGGCUGACGCGGGAGCUCGGGCAGAUGAAGAAGCUCUGCAAUAACAUUUUCGUCCUCAUGUCCAAGUACACCCACGGCCAGCAGGCCGACGCCGCCGACGUCGGGAAUUGCUCUGGUGAGUCGGCAGAGACCACGGCGCUCCCACUUCCGCCGGUGCUCGAGCUCUUGCCUUCCUGCCCAAAUGCUCCCACGGCUGCCGAUUUGGGCGCGGAGGACGAGGAGGAGAAGAUGAGCGCUAGGCUCUUCGGCGUCUGCAUCGGGCGGAAGCGAAUGCGUCACGACGGCGAGGACCUGACGAGCCGAGGAGCGGCGGCGGAGGUGAAGCCUGAGCCGAUGGACGCGCAGCAGCCCCCCGGAAUGGACGGUCACACGCCGGAGGUGCAAGCCUGGCCCAUUUACCGGCCCAGACCCGUGUACCACCCCCUCCGCGCCUCCGACGGGUCAAACUGCUACAGCGGGAGUGACGACCACAACGGGUCCAACUCCAGGUGA